Molecule: ribosomal RNA, 300 nt
Filed under: uncultured Halobellus sp.
Lineage: Archaea; Methanobacteriati; Methanobacteriota; Halobacteria; Halobacteriales; Haloferacaceae
Description: bacterial SSU rRNA
Rfam family: Bacterial small subunit ribosomal RNA
Source: RNAcentral
UCCAAUUCCGAGCGGGCGGCGAUGGGAAUACGGAGGGGGCGAUGGUGAACCGGAGUGACGGGGGUUAAACGGAUCGAAGACGGUACGGGAAGCCAGUGGUGAAAGGCCUGGGCGCAACCCCGGGACGGCAUUUGGAACUGCUGAGCUAGGGUGUCGGAGAGGCAAGGGGAAUUCCUAGUGUAGCGGUGAAAUGCGUAGAUAUUAGGAGGAACACCAGUGGCGAAGGCGGCUUGCUGGACGAUGACUGACGUUGAGGCUCGAAAGCGUGGGGAGCAAACAGGAUUAGAUACCCCUGUAGUC